GAUGAACGCUGGCGGCGUGCCUAAUACAUGCAAGUCGAGCGAACAGACGAGAAGCUUGCUUCUCUGAUGUUAGCGGCGGACGGGUGAGUAACACGUGGAUAACCUACCUAUAAGACUGGGAUAACUUCGGGAAACCGGAGCUAAUACCGGAUAAUAUUUUGAACCGCAUGGUUCAAUAGUGAAAGACGGUCUUGCUGUCACUUAUAGAUGGAUCCGCGCUGCAUUAGCUAGUUGGUAAGGUAACGGCUUACCAAGGCAACGAUGCAUAGCCGACCUGAGAGGGUGAUCGGCCACACUGGAACUGAGACACGGUCCAGACUCCUACGGGAGGCAGCAGUAGGGAAUCUUCCGCAAUGGGCGAAAGCCUGACGGAGCAACGCCGCGUGAGUGAUGAAGGUCUUCGGAUCGUAAAACUCUGUUAUUAGGGAAGAACAGAUGUGUAAGUAACUGUGCACAUCUUGACGGUACCUAAUCAGAAAGCCACGGCUAACUACGUG
RNAcentral lists this ribosomal RNA (497 nucleotides) under uncultured bacterium. Its description in RNAcentral is "partial 16S ribosomal RNA". It matches the Rfam family "Bacterial small subunit ribosomal RNA", at positions 28 to 507 of the family's 1533-position model. The record is from RNAcentral.